GAUGAACGCUGGCGGCGUGCCUAAUACAUGCAAGUCGAGCGAACGGACGAGAAGCUUGCUUCUCUGAUGUUAGCGGCGGACGGGUGAGUAACACGUGGAUAACCUACCUAUAAGACUGGGAUAACUUCGGGAAACCGGAGCUAAUACCGGAUGAUAUUUUGAACCGCAUGGUUCAAAAGUGAAAGACGGUCUUGCUGUCACUUAUAGAUGGAUCCGCGCUGCAUUAGCUAGUUGGUAAGGUAACGGCUUACCAAGGCAACGAUGCAUAGCCGACCUGAGAGGGUGAUCGGCCACACUGGAACUGAGACACGGUCCAGACUCCUACGGGAGGCAGCAGUAGGGAAUCUUCCGCAAUGGGCGAAAGCCUGACGGAGCAACGCCGCGUGAGUGAUGAAGGUCUUCGGAUCGUAAAACUCUGUUGUUAGGGAAGAACAUAUGUGUAAGUAACUGUGCACAUCUUGACGGUACCUAAUCAGAAAGCCACGGCUAACUACGUG
RNAcentral lists this ribosomal RNA (497 nucleotides) under uncultured bacterium. RNAcentral describes it as "partial 16S ribosomal RNA". It matches the Rfam family "Bacterial small subunit ribosomal RNA", at positions 28 to 507 of the family's 1533-position model. The record is from RNAcentral.